Molecule: ribosomal RNA, 464 nt
Filed under: uncultured bacterium
Lineage: Bacteria
Description: partial 16S ribosomal RNA
Rfam family: Bacterial small subunit ribosomal RNA
Source: RNAcentral
GACGAACGCUGGCGGCGUGCUUAACACAUGCAAGUCGAACGAUGAAGCCAGCUUGCUGGUGGAUUAGUGGCGAACGGGUGAGUAACACGUGGGUGAUCUGCCCCAAACUUUGGGAUAAGCCUGGGAAACUGGGUCUAAUACCGAAUAUGACUGAUACUCGCAUGGGUGUUGGUGGAAAGCUCCGGCGGUUUGGGAUGGGCCCGCGGCCUAUCAGCUUGUUGGUGGGGUAAUGGCCUACCAAGGCGACGACGGGUAGCCGGCCUGAGAGGGCGACCGGCCACACUGGGACUGCGACACGGCCCAGACUCCUACGGGAGGCAGCAGUGGGGAAUAUUGCACAAUGGGCGCAAGCCUGAUGCAGCGACGCCGCGUGAGGGAUGACGGCCUUCGGGUUGUAAACCUCUUUCACCAGGGACGAAGCGAAAGUGACGGUACCUGGAGAAGAAGCACCGGCCAACUACGUG